This 654-nucleotide ribosomal RNA is filed under the name Colletotrichum gloeosporioides. RNAcentral describes it as "LSU rRNA". It matches the Rfam family "Eukaryotic large subunit ribosomal RNA", at positions 25 to 700 of the family's 3401-position model. The record is from RNAcentral. Lineage: Eukaryota; Fungi; Ascomycota; Sordariomycetes; Glomerellales; Glomerellaceae.
CCGCUGAACUUAAGCAUAUCAAUAAGCGGAGGAAAAGAAACCAACAGGGAUUGCCUCAGUAACGGCGAGUGAAGCGGCAACAGCUCAAAUUUGAAAUCUGGUCCUUGCGGCCCGAGUUGUAAUUUGCAGAGGAUGCUUUUGGCGCGGUGCCUUCCAAGUUCCCUGGAACGGGACGCCUUAGAGGGUGAGAGCCCCGUACGGUUGGACACCAAGCCUUUGUAAAGCUCCUUCGACGAGUCGAGUAGUUUGGGUAAUGCUGCUCUAAAUGGGAGGUAUAUUUCUUCUAAAGCUAAAUACCGGCCAGAGACCGAUAGCGCACAAGUAGAGUGAUCGAAAGAUGAAAAGCACUUUGAAAAGAGGGUUAAACAGCACGUGAAAUUGUUAAAAGGGAAGCGCUUGUGACCAGACUUGCGCCCGGUGAAUCACCCAGCUCUCGCGGCUGGGGCACUUUGCCGGCUCAGGCCAGCAUCAGCUUGCCGUCGGGGACAAAAGCUUCGGGAACGUAGCUCUCUUCGGGGAGUGUUAUAGCCCGUUGCAUAAUACCCUUCGGCGGGCUGAGGUACGCGCUCCGCAAGGAUGCUGGCAUAAUGGUCAUCAGCAACCCGUCUUGAAACACGGACCAAGGAGUCAACCUUAUGUGCGAGUGUUUGGGUG